AUGUCUGAUGCAAAAGCUAUCGAUGCCCAAUAUGGCAGUGAAAAGGGGCUCACCGCCCUUUCUGCUGCGCUGGCAGGCGGAAACCUUAUUUAUGAAAGUUCAG
SAR116 cluster alpha proteobacterium HIMB100 is the source of this 103-nucleotide regulatory RNA element. It matches the Rfam family "Pyrrolysine insertion sequence mttB". Lineage: Bacteria; Pseudomonadati; Pseudomonadota; Alphaproteobacteria; Puniceispirillales (SeqCode). The record is from Rfam.